GCUGGCGGUGCUCGAUUUGGCGAACGGGUGAGUAACACGUGGGUGAUCUGCCCUGCACUUUGGGAUAAGCUUGGGAAACUGGGUCUAAUACCGAAUAUGACUAUGGUGUGGUAGCCAUGGUGGAAAGCUUUUGCGGUGUGGGAUGAGCCUGCGGCCUAUCAGCUUGUUGGUGGGGUAAUGGCCUACCAAGGCGGCGACGGGUAUCCGGCCUGAGAGGGUGUACGGACACAUUGGGACUGAGAUACGGCCCAGACUCCUACGGGAGGCAGCAGUGGGGAAUAUUGCACAAUGGGCGCAAGCCUGAUGCAGCGACGCCGCGUGGGGGAUGAAGGCCUUCGGGUUGUAAACUCCUUUCGCUAUCGACGAAGCCACUUUGUGGUGACGGUAGGUAGAUAAGAAGCACCGGCUAACUACGUGCCAGCAGCCGCGGUAAUACGUAGGGUGCAAGCGUUGUCCGGAAUUACUGGGCGUAAAGAGCUCGUAGGUGGUUUGUCGCGUCGUCUGUGAAAUCCCGGGGCUUAACUUCGGGCGUGCAGGCGAUACGGGCAUAACUUGAGUGCUGUAGGGGGAGACUGGAAUUCCUGGUGUAGCGGGUGAAAUGCGGCACGAUAUCAGGAGGGAACACCGAUUGGCGACGGCCGGUCUCUGGGCCAGUUAACUGACGCUGAGGAGCGA
RNAcentral lists this ribosomal RNA (675 nucleotides) under Corynebacterium sp. UST050418-176. Its description in RNAcentral is "bacterial SSU rRNA". It matches the Rfam family "Bacterial small subunit ribosomal RNA", at positions 79 to 756 of the family's 1533-position model. The record is from RNAcentral. Lineage: Bacteria; Bacillati; Actinomycetota; Actinomycetes; Mycobacteriales; Corynebacteriaceae.